GCAGGACUGACAAAAGAUCCCAGGAGGGAAAAUAUGACUUCUUGUGUGGUCUAAGAAGCCUUACUGCUUUGAAGAAUCUCCUAAUUAGAACAUGCAAUGCUAAAUCCUUCACUAGAAAAAAAACUUAAGGCAGACAGCUGGACGUUCAAAGUGGAAACACCCAGACCUUUGUGAAGCCCAUCCUGAAGGAAGUGUAAAAUAGAAUCAACUAAAGGAUGUACUUGAAGAAAUUGAUGUUCCUUACACCAAUGUAGAAAUUUCGCCCAAAUUCUCAUGUACAACUUUGAGGUGGAACGUCUGGUAGAUUGAAGGAGUAAUUGGACCCUGUCUUCCUGAAGACCCUGAUAAUGAAGGAUUAGCAUUGCAACAGCCAUGCCGUCAAUCUGAACAUCUAUAGAAUUUCCAGAGGUAACUCCCUGUUUUCUAUCAGAGCUUUUGAGAUUGGAAGUUCACAAUACGUGGAAGCUAUCUCCUUCAAGUCCAAAAACCAGCUCCUGUUUGCCAGUACAGAACGAUUGCUAGAACCACUGCCCUGUCUGUCCUUAUCUUUUGAAGAAUUCUUGGGACCAGCUUUAUUGGAGGAAAGAUGUCCGCUAGGGAGAAAAUCACAUUGGAGUGAUAGACCAUCUAUCCAUUGAGGAUGAUCUGUCCUGAACAGGGAGGCAAAUUUGGGAGCCUUGGUGUUCUCUCUUCUUGCCAUAAGGUCUACGAUGGGCAUUCCAAAU
Pelobates cultripes (western spadefoot toad) is the source of this 725-nucleotide non-coding RNA. The record is from the annotation of a GenBank genome assembly. Lineage: Eukaryota; Metazoa; Chordata; Amphibia; Anura; Pelobatidae.